RNAcentral lists this ribosomal RNA (252 nucleotides) under uncultured bacterium. RNAcentral's name for it is "partial 16S ribosomal RNA". It matches the Rfam family "Bacterial small subunit ribosomal RNA", at positions 524 to 776 of the family's 1533-position model. The record is from RNAcentral.
UACGUAGGUCCCGAGCGUUGUCCGGAUUUAUUGGGCGUAAAGCGAGCGCAGGUGGUUUAUUAAGUCUGGUGUAAAAGGCAGUGGCUCAACCAUUGUAUGCAUUGGAAACUGGUAGACUUGAGUGCAGGAGAGGAGAGUGGAAUUCCAUGAGUAGCGGUGAAAUGCGUAGAUAUAUGGAGGAACACCGGUGGCGAAAGCGGCCCUCUGGCCUGUAACUGACACUGAGGCUCGAAAGCGUGGGGAGCAAACAGG